Molecule: non-coding RNA, 238 nt
Filed under: Lachnospiraceae bacterium
Lineage: Bacteria; Bacillati; Bacillota; Clostridia; Lachnospirales; Lachnospiraceae
Description: T-box sequence
Rfam family: T-box leader
About the family: Uncharged tRNA acts as the effector for transcription antitermination of genes in the T-box leader family. T-boxes are found upstream of many aminoacyl-tRNA synthetase genes and some amino acid biosynthetic genes usually in Gram-positive bacteria.
Source: RNAcentral
UUAAAUGCGUUGAACAGAAAUAGUAGGUAUUUUAGAGACCUUAAGAGAGAAGCCGGUUGGUGCGAGGCUUUGGUUUUCGGAUACCGAACCCGUCUGGGAGCAGCAGGAGGGAAAACUGAUCGAUUUCAGAAACUUCUGCCGGAGGUCACCGUGAUCAUAGACAAGUGGGAUUCCCACGCAGAGAGCAGACCAAUGGUCUGAAUUUAGGUGGUAACGCGGAUUUUUAUUCGUCCUAAGU